RNAcentral lists this ribosomal RNA (253 nucleotides) under uncultured bacterium. RNAcentral's name for it is "partial 16S ribosomal RNA". It matches the Rfam family "Bacterial small subunit ribosomal RNA", at positions 524 to 776 of the family's 1533-position model. The record is from RNAcentral.
GACGUAGGAGGCAAGCGUUGUCCGGAAUUACUGGGCGUAAAGCGCGUGUAGGUGGUGGGACAAGUCUGCUGUGAAAGCGCCUGGCUUAACCGGGCGAGGUCGGCGGAAACUGUCCGACUCGAGGACGGUAGAGGGGGGUGGAAUUCCCGGUGUAGUGGUGAAAUGCGCAGAUAUCAGGAAGAACACCCGUGGCUAAGGCGGCUCUCUAGUACGGUACUGACGCUGAGACGCGAAAGCGUGGGGAGCGAACAGG